Molecule: transfer RNA, 68 nt
Filed under: Marisa cornuarietis
Lineage: Eukaryota; Metazoa; Mollusca; Gastropoda; Architaenioglossa; Ampullariidae
Description: tRNA-Ser
Source: RNAcentral
AGAAAAAACUUGGAGUAAAACAGGGCUGCUAACUUUGUUUUGGGUUGUUCAAUUCAAUCCUUUUUCUU